This 745-nucleotide ribosomal RNA is filed under the name nr. Daraxa sp. MF-2016. RNAcentral's name for it is "SSU rRNA". It matches the Rfam family "Eukaryotic small subunit ribosomal RNA", at positions 503 to 1163 of the family's 1831-position model. Lineage: Eukaryota; Metazoa; Arthropoda; Insecta; Hemiptera; Reduviidae. The record is from RNAcentral.
CCGUAAUCGGAAUGAGUACACUUUAAAUCCUUUAACAAGGAUCCAUUGGAGGGCAAGUCUGGUGCCAGCAGCCGCGGUAAUUCCAGCUCCAAUAGCGUAUAUUAAAGUUGUUGCGGUUAAAAAGCUCGUAGUUGGUUCUGCGUGCCGCGCUGUCGGUUCGCCGCCUGUCGGUGUUACUGGCAUGUCGCGGCAUGUCCUGUCGGUGGUGAAUGGAAUCCCCAGGACUUCUUAGGCUUCAUAGCUUAUGUAUGUUCUGUAAGGACUCCAUUUGCCGAUUUCUCCUACUCCGGUGCUCUUAAACGAGUGUCGAGGUAGGCCGACACGUUCACUUUGAACAAAUUAGAGUGCUUAAAGCAGGCUGAAAUAUCUGCCUGAAUAGUGGUGCAUGGAAUAAUAAAAUAGGACCUCGGUUCUAUUUUAUUGGUUUUAGGAAUAUGAGGUAAUGAUCAAUGUGGACUGGCGGGGGCAUUCGUAUUGCGACGUUAGAGGUGAAAUUCUUGGAUCGUCGCAAGACGCACUAGAGCGAAAGCAUUUGCCAAGUAUGUCUUAAUUGAUCAAGAACGAAAGUUAGAGGUUCGAAGGCGAUCAGAUACCGCCCUAGUUCUAACCAUAAACGAUGCCAGCCAGCGAUCCGCCGAUGUUCCAAUAAUGACUCGGCGGGGAGCUUCUACCCGGGAAACCAAAGCUUUUGGGUUCCGGGGGAAGUAUGGUUGCAAAGCUGAAACUUAAAGGAAUUGACGGAAGG